CUGGAGGUAUCAGAAGUGCGAAUGCUGACAUAAGUAACGAUAAAGCGGGUGAAAAGCCCGCUCGCCGGAAGACCAAGGGUUCCUGUCCAACGUUAAUCGGGGCAGGGUGAGUCGACCCCUAAGGCGAGGCCGAAAGGCGUAGUCGAUGGGAAACGGGUUAAUAUUCCCGUACUUGGUGUUACUGCGAAGGGGGGACGGAGAAGGCUAUGUUGGCCGGGCGACGGUUGUCCCGGUUUAAGCGUGUAGGUGUGUGUUCCAGGUAAAUCCGGUUCACUUUAACACUGAGGCGUGAUGACGAGGCACUACGGUGCUGAAGCAACAAAUGCCCUGCUUCCAGGAAAAGCCUCUAAGCAUCAGGUAACAUCAAAUCGUACCCCAAACCGACACAGGUGGUCAGGUAGAGAAUACCAAGGCGCUUGAGAGAACUCGGGUGAAGGAACUAGGCAAAAUGGUGCCGUAACUUCGGGAGAAGGCACGCUGACACGUAGGUGAAGUGAUUUACUCAUGGAGCUGAAGUCAGUCGAAGAUACCAGCUGGCUGCAACUGUUUAUUAAAAACACAGCACUGUGCAAACACGAAAGUGGACGUAUACGGUGUGACGCCUGCCCGGUGCCGGAAGGUUAAUUGAUGGGGUCAGCGCAAGCGAAGCUCCUGAUCGAAGCCCCGGUAAACGGCGGCCGUAACUAUAACGGUCCUAAGGUAGCGAAAUUCCUUGUCGGGUAAGUUCCGACCUGCACGAAUGGCGUAAUGAUGGCCAGGCUGUCUCCACCCGAGACUCAGUGAAAUUGAACUCGCUGUGAAGAUGCAGUGUACCCGCGGCAAGACGGAAAGACCCCGUGAACCUUUACUAUAGCUUGACACUGAACAUUGAGCCUUGAUGUGUAGGAUAGGUGGGAGGCUUUGAAGCGUGGACGCCAGUCUGCGUGGAGCCGACCUUGAAAUACCACCCUUUAAUGUUUGAUGUUCUAACGUGGACCCGUAAUCCGGGUUGCGGACAGUGUCUGGUGGGUAGUUUGACUGGGGCGGUCUCCUCCUAAAGAGUAACGGAGGAGCACGAAGGUUGGCUAAUCCUGGUCGGACAUCAGGAGGUUAGUGCAAUGGCAUAAGCCAGCUUGACUGCGAGCGUGACGGCGCGAGCAGGUGCGAAAGCAGGUCAUAGUGAUCCGGUGGUUCUGAAUGGAAGGGCCAUCGCUCAACGGAUAAAAGGUACUCCGGGGAUAACAGGCUGAUACCGCCCAAGAGUUCAUAUCGACGGCGGUGUUUGGCACCUCGAUGUCGGCUCAUCACAUCCUGGGGCUGAAGUAGGUCCCAAGGGUAUGGCUGUUCGCCAUUUAAAGUGGUACGCGAGCUGGGUUUAGAACGUCGUGAGACAGUUCGGUCCCUAUCUGCCGUGGGCGCUGGAGAACUGAGGGGGGCUGCUCCUAGUACGAGAGGACCGGAGUGGACGCAUCACUGGUGUUCGGGUUGUCAUGCCAAUGGCACUGCCCGGUAGCUAAAUGCGGAAGAGAUAAGUGCUGAAAGCAUCUAAGCACGAAACUUGCCCCGAGAUGAGUUCUCCCUGAGACUUAGAGUCUCCUGAAGGAACGUUGAAGACGACGACGUUGAUAGGCCGGGUGUGUAAGCGCAGCGAUGCGUUGAGCUAACCGGUACUAAUGAACCGUGAGGCUUAACCUUACA
This 1677-nucleotide ribosomal RNA is filed under the name Salmonella enterica. RNAcentral describes it as "partial 23S ribosomal RNA". It matches the Rfam family "Bacterial large subunit ribosomal RNA", at positions 1273 to 2925 of the family's 2925-position model. Lineage: Bacteria; Pseudomonadati; Pseudomonadota; Gammaproteobacteria; Enterobacterales; Enterobacteriaceae. The record is from RNAcentral.